This 427-nucleotide ribosomal RNA is filed under the name uncultured bacterium. RNAcentral describes it as "partial 16S ribosomal RNA". It matches the Rfam family "Bacterial small subunit ribosomal RNA", at positions 354 to 796 of the family's 1533-position model. The record is from RNAcentral.
GUGGGGAAUAUUGGGCAAUGGGGGAAACCCUGACCCAGCAACGCCGCGUGAAGGAAGAAGGCUUUCGGGUUGUAAACUUCUUUUAUGAGGGACGAAGAAGUGACGGUACCUCAUGAAUAAGCCACGGCUAACUACGUGCCAGCAGCCGCGGUAAUACGUAGGUGGCAAGCGUUGUCCGGAUUUACUGGGUGUAAAGGGCGCGUAGGCGGGAUAGCAAGUCAGGUGUGAAAUCCGGGGGCUUAACCCUCGAACUGCACUUGAAACUGUUAUUCUUGAGUGAUGGAGAGGCAAGCGGAAUUCCUAGUGUAGCGGUGAAAUGCGUAGAUAUUAGGAGGAACACCAGUGGCGAAGGCGGCUUGCUGGACAUUAACUGACGCUGAGGCGCGAAAGCGUAGGGAGCAAACAGGAUUAGAAACCCGUGUAGUCC